This 3682-nucleotide long non-coding RNA is filed under the name Pelobates cultripes (western spadefoot toad). The record is from RNAcentral. Lineage: Eukaryota; Metazoa; Chordata; Amphibia; Anura; Pelobatidae.
UCUUAUUUAGGGCCCCCACCCACCGCUCAGGGCUGGGGGCCAGGGAGGGAGGACAGUAGGUCAUCCGCCCCUCAAUCUUAUUUAGGGCCCCCACCCGCCACACAGGGGUGGGGGCCAGGGGGAGAGGGCAGUAGGUCACCCGCCCCUCAUUGUUAUGUAGCCAAUGGCUUCUUUACUACCUGGAGAACGCAUGUGCUGGGCCAAUAAAACUGCUCCUAAUUUACAUUCAAUAACCCUGAUCUAAGGAUAUAUACACAUCACAUAUUAUCCCAGCACACAAUGUAAUCAACAUCCUACAGAAACAGUGGUAGUGUGGUGCCAUUUAUCAGCCUUUCCCUUACGACACACUGUAUAGUGAGUUCUUGACACAUCAAAGCACUUUGUUGUGUUAUAUUUAGGUGUAACUAAAAGUAUCCCUGUAAAAGAGGGCCUUCUGAAAGCUGUGUAUAUGUAAGGCUUGCUACACAUUAUAUCAUCAUUAUGUAUGCCAUUUGGAACCUAUCACCCAUUUUUUAACGAAAUCCCCCUCUCUUUUAGGAUCCUUUAAAUGGGCUUACUCAGACACAAUGGAGGCCUAAUUAAUUCCAUCACCCGAUAUGGCGUUCACUUCGGGAAAAUUAUCUAUACAGUUCAGUAAACUAAGUGUGCAAUCCCUAUCACCAUCUUUGUAUUGAUAAGGAUUGUAAUAGACAACAGAUUUCUAGGGGCACUUAAUAUAUCAUUAAUAAAUAUACCCUGUAGCACUUAAUAUAUCAUUAAUAUAUAUAUACCCUGUGGCACUUAAUAUAUUGUGUAUCCUUAAUAUAUCAUUAAUAUAUACACCCUGUGCCAUUUCAUAUGUUGUGUACCCUUAAUAUGUCAUUAAUAUAUAUAUACCCUGCGGCAUUUAAUAUAUUGUGUACCCUUACAUAGUUACAUAGCUGAAAAGAGACUUGCGUCCAUCAAGUUCAGCCUUCCUCACAUUUGUUUUUUGCUGUCGAUCCAAAAGAAGGCAAAAAAACCCAGUUUGAAGCACAAUUUUGCAACAAGCUAGGAAAAAAAUUCCUUCUUGACCCCAGAAUGGCAGUCAGAUUUAUCCUUGGAUCAAGCAGUUAUUACCCUACAUUGAAAGAUUAUAUCCUGGAAUAUUCUGUUAUUGCAAGUAUGCAUCUAGUUGCUGUUUGAACAUCUGUUUGGACUCUGAUAAAACCACUUCUUCAGGCAGAGAAUUUCCCAUCCUGCUUGUUCUUACAGUAAAAAAAACCUUUCCUUUGCCUUAGACGAAAUCUUCUUUCUUCCAGUCUAAUCGCAUGGCCUCGUGUGCUAUGUAAAGUCCGGUUUGUGAAUAGAUUUCCACACAAUGGUUUGUAUUGGCCCCAAAUAUUUUGUAUAAUGUUACCAUAUCCCCUCUCGGGCAACGUUUUUCUAAACUAAAUAGGUUUAAAUUUGUUAACCUUUCUUCAUGGCUGAUAUUCCUUUUAUUAAUUUUGUAGCCCGCCUCUGCACUUUUUCUAGUGCCAUAAUAUCCUUCUUUAGAACAGGUGGUCUUACCAGUGAUUUAUAAAGAGGCAAAAUGAUAUUCUCGUCCCGAGAAUGAAUGCCCUUUUUCAUGCAUGAAAAUACCUUACUGGCCUUGGCCACUGCUGAUUGACAUUGCACAUUGUUGCAUAGUUUGUUGUCUAUAACAAUUCCCAAGUCCUUUUCGUGUGUUGUUAUCCCUAAUUCACUUCCAUUAAGGGUAUACGUUGCUUGUGUAUUCUUUACACCGAAGUGCAUAACGUUGCAUUUUUCAACAUUAAAUUUCAUCUGCCAUUUGAGUGCCCAGUCCCUCAGUCUAUCUAAAUCCCUCUGCAGCAAAGUAAUAUCUUGCUCACAUUGUAUUAUUUUACAAAGUUUUGUGUCAUCUGCAAACACUGAAAGAUGAGGGACACCACUUGCCACCUCUGUCCAGCUUGAAAAUUUUCCAUUAACGACAACUCUUUGUACUCUGUUUUUAAGCCAAUGUUCUACCCAAGAACAAGCAUUUUCAUCUAGACCGAUUUCCUUGAGUUUGAACACUAAUCUAUUGUGUGGAACUGUAUCAAAUGCCUUGGCAAAAUCCAAAUAGAUCACAUUCACUGCAACACCCUGAUCUAUACUUCUACUUACUUCUUCGUAGAACGCAAUCAAUUUAGUUUGACAUUAGUUUGUGCUUCAUAAAAGCGUGAUGAUUUUUGCUGAUAACCAUGUUCUUCUCAAGGAAUUCUUGAAUAUUAUCCCUUAAUAACCUUUCAGAUAUUUUACCAGCCACAGAAGUUAAGCUCCAUAAUUUCCAGGCAAGGAUUUUGAACCCUUUUUGAAUAUAGGAACCACAUCUGCCUUCCUCCAAUCCUCCGGAACACUUCCUGAAAGAAAAUAAUCUUGAAAGAUUAAAAACAGAGGUUCACUUAUUUCUACACUUAGUUCCUUACGUACUCGUGGAUGGAUACCGUCAGGCCCUGGAGCUUUGUUUAUAUUAACUUUCUUUAGUUGCUGCAGCACCUUGUCUUGAGUUAACCAAUCACAAUUAUUCUGCAAGUUUUUAGCAGCAAUCAUUUGCAAAUCUAUUGCCAUGGGUUCUUCCUUAAUAUAUACGGAGGAAAAAUAGUUAUCUAAAAUUCCUGCCUUUUCCUGGUCUUCAUUAACUAACACCCCCAUUUCAGUUUUUAGUGUACCUACACUCAUUUUUUUUAAAGAAUUUAUGUACUUAAAAAAUGCUUUGGGGUUGGUUUUGCUCUCUUUAGCUAUCAUUAUUUCAUUUUGAAGUUUAGCAAAUCUAAUCGCCUUUUUGCACGCAUUAUUUGCCUCCUUAUAUCUUUUAUAAGAUGCAUCUGAUUUGUCUGAUUUAAAUGCCCUGUCUUAGUUGUAAUCUCUUGUUUUACUUCUCUACUAAGCCACAUUGGUUUUAAUUUGUUUAUUUUAUAUUUAUUACCCAAUGGUACAUACUGAGAAAUGUACCUUUGUAAUAUUUGUUGGAAGAUGAUCCAUUUAUCCUCAAUGUUCUUUUCACUAAAGAGUUUAUGCCAGUCAAUAUAUUGUAAAGCUUCCCUUAACUUAUUGAAAUUGGCCUUUUAAACUUUAUAUGUUUUAGUAUACCCCAUGUGCUUUUGUUUUUUUGAGUUCAUUUCAAAGGACUAUUUCCCAAGUGCUCACCUACUUGAAUGUUGGUCAAAAGAUCAACGUUGUUUGUUAAAACCAGGUCCAGACAAGCGUCCAUUCUAGUUGGUGCUUGUACAAGUUGUGACAUGAAGGUGUAAUUUAACAAGUUUAAAAACCUAAUUCACUUUGCUGAGCUACUAAUCCCUCUGUCCCAAUUUAUGUCCGGGUAACUAAAAUCUCCAAUAAUUAAAGUGUUACCCAGAUUUGCAGCUUUCUCAAUUUGCUCAAACAGCUGUUGUUCCUCGUCAAUAUUAACAUUAGGUGGUUUAUAACAUAUCCCAACCAAUAGUUGAUUUCCCUUAUUUUCCCCCAAGCAGAUAUUUACCCAUAAAGCUUUUUUUUUUUACCCACAUUUUCCUCAUCGCAUUCCAUUUGAACCCUUAAUAUAUCAUUAAUAUAUAUACCCUGUGCCAUUUAAUAUAUUGUGUACCCUUAAUAUAUCAUUAAUAUAUAUACCCUGCAGCACUUAAUAUAUUGUGUACCAUUAAUGUCAUUAAUAUAUAUACCCUGCGGCACUUAAUAUAUU